AGUGAACGCUGGCGGUGGGCCUAACACAUGCAAGUCGAACGGGAGCACAGUAAGAGCUUGCUCUUACGUGUGUCGAGUGGCGGACGGGUGAGGAAUACAUCGGAUUCUACUUUUUCGUGGGGGCUAACGUAGGGAAACUUACGCUAAUCAAGGAUACGACCUACGGGUGAAAGCAGGGGAUCUUCGGACCUUUCGCGAGUGAAUGAGCCGAUGUCGGAUUAGCUCGUUGGCGGGGCAAAGGCCCACCAAGGCGACGCUCCGUAGCUGGUCUGAGAGGAUGAUCCGCCAGACUGGAACUGAGACACAGUCCAGACUCCGACGGGAGGCAGCAGUGGGGAAUAUUGGACGAUGGGCGAGAGCCUGAUCCAGCCAUACCGCGUAAGUGAAGAAGGCCUUCGGGUUGUAAAGCCCUUUUGUUGGGAAAGAAAAGCAGCAGUUUAACACCCCGCGGUUCUGACGGUACCCAAAGAAUAAGCACCGGCUAACUUCGUG
This 492-nucleotide ribosomal RNA is filed under the name uncultured bacterium. RNAcentral's name for it is "partial 16S ribosomal RNA". It matches the Rfam family "Bacterial small subunit ribosomal RNA", at positions 29 to 507 of the family's 1533-position model. The record is from RNAcentral.